GAGGGAGACCAAACUUAGCAAGGUAUUGAACGCAACUGAUGUCAUACCAUUGCUGGUCAAACCAAGGUCGGUUCAAAAAGUAAUCAAAGCCAAUAAAACGUCAAACUAUAUUGUUCGGGUCAACAACAGAAGUAUCUAUUCUGGUAAUAGAGAAGUCUGACCAAAACAAGGGCUAUUAGCUCAGGUGGUUAGAGCGCACCCCUGAUAAGGGUGAGGUCCCUGGUUCAAGUCCAGGAUGGCCCACCACGAUCGAAGGAAAAAAGAGAAAGGAAAAGGAAAAAGAAUAAUUUGAUUUUAAAAUCCUCAGUCCACGUUCCUCAAUCCUUAAGAAUGGGGGUAUAGCUCAGCUGGUAGAGCGCCUGCUUUGCAAGCAGGAUGUCAGCGGUUCAAAUCCGCUUACCUCCACCAAGUAAAGUUGUUAACUACAAUAAAUCAAAUAAAUUCAGCACUCUCACAACUAGUAACAAGUAGAGUGAGUCUGCUGGACUUAUCAAAAGUUCAGACAUGAACCUUGAAAACUGCAUAAAAUCUAGAAACAGUGAUUGAUUCUAUACUGAUAGAAGUAAUCAUUGGUGAAAGAGCUAAAUAACUAAGUAAUUAGGUCAAAAAAAAACUAAGGCAGUAAGUGAAAACUUACUAUAAAUUAGUCCAAGAUAGGCAAAACCUAUUGAGUAGAGAGAAACAAAGUGAAGGUUAUUGCCAAGAGGCAAUAAUCAUCACUAAAUGGUCA
This 730-nucleotide transfer RNA is filed under the name cyanobacterium CBW1115. RNAcentral's name for it is "partial 16S-23S ribosomal RNA intergenic spacer". The stretch from base 333 to 405 matches the Rfam family "tRNA". The record is from RNAcentral. Lineage: Bacteria; Bacillati; Cyanobacteriota.